UGGGGAAUAUUGCACAAUGGGCGCAAGCCUGAUGCAGCCAUGCCGCGUGUGUGAAGAAGGCCUUCGGGUUGUAAAGCACUUUCAGCGGGGAGGAAGGCGAUAAGGUUAAUAACCUCACCGAUUGACGUUACCCGCAGAAGAAGCACCGGCUAACUCCGUGCCAGCAGCCGCGGUAAUACGGGGGGUGCAAGCGUUAAUCGGAAUUACUGGGCGUAAAGCGAACGCAGGCGGUUUGUUAAGUCAGAUGUGAAAUCCUCGGGCUCAACCUGGGAACUGCAUCUGAUACUGGCAAGCUUGAGUCUCGUAGAGGGGGGUAGAAUUCCAGGUGUAGCGGUGAAAUGCGUAGAGAUCUGGAGGAAUACCGGUGGCGAAGGCGGCCCCCUGGACGAAGACUGACGCUCAGGUGCGAAAGCGUGGGGAGCAAACAGG
Molecule: ribosomal RNA, 429 nt
Filed under: Chloroflexota bacterium
Lineage: Bacteria; Bacillati; Chloroflexota
Description: Chloroflexi bacterium partial 16S ribosomal RNA
Rfam family: Bacterial small subunit ribosomal RNA
Source: RNAcentral